AUAUUGGACAAUGGGGGCAACCCUGAUCCAGCCAUGCCGCGUGUGCGAAGAAGGUCUUCGGAUGGUAAAGCACUUUAAUUUGGGAGGAAGGGCUUUAGGUUAAUACCCUGAAGUUUUGACGUUACCAACAGAAUAAGCCACGGCUAUCUCUGUGCCAGCAGCCGCGGUAAUACAGAGGGUGCAAGCUUUAAUCGGAAUUACUGGUCGUAAAGCGCGCGUAGGUGGUUCAGUAAGAUGGGUGUGAAAUCCCCGGGCUUAACCUGGGAACUGCUUUCAUAACUGCUGAGCUAGAGUAAGGUAGAGGGUAGUGGAAUUUCCUGUGUAGCGGUGAAAUGCGUAGAUAUAGGAAGGAACACCAGUGGCGAAGGCGACUACCUGGACUGAUACUGACACUGAGGUGCGAAAGCGUGGGGAGCAAAC
Molecule: ribosomal RNA, 420 nt
Filed under: uncultured bacterium
Lineage: Bacteria
Description: partial 16S ribosomal RNA
Rfam family: Bacterial small subunit ribosomal RNA
Source: RNAcentral